This is a long non-coding RNA of Ipomoea triloba (trilobed morning glory), 829 nucleotides long. RefSeq lists it as uncharacterized. The record is from RefSeq and is a predicted model, not a curated record. Lineage: Eukaryota; Viridiplantae; Streptophyta; Magnoliopsida; Solanales; Convolvulaceae. The transcript has 2 exons.
GAGAGAGAGAGAGAGAGAGAGGGAGGGAGAGAGAAGCAAUUUUCGAGCUUGGAUCGCGAUUGGUUCGGUAAAUUUCAAUUUUAAUCGGUUAAAAGUUAUGUUUUACUCCUAGUUCAUAGUUUUGGGUAGAAUUUUGUUGAACCAUAUUCGUAUUACCGUGUUUUAUGUUAGGGUUUUAAGGUGAAUUUGGGGAAAGAUCCAAGAUUUGCUUCCUACGGAAGAAAAAUUCAAGUAGUUCUCGACCGAGGCUUAGCAGUCGGCAACCUCCUCACCCGCAACAAUAGGCGACAAAUGGUGGUCUGUUUUUCUGACGUGGUCUUCUCCUCUAACCGAGGCUUAGCAGACGGUGACCUCCUCACCCUCUCGUCUCUCUGUACCUCUCUCUCCAGCGUGGGUUGUUUCUCAUUCGAUGAAGCUCAAUGACGAACAAAGCUACGACAGCAACUCCAACAAUGGCAUCCCCUGAUCUCCCUUUUCCCGGCGAGGCAAGGCACUCUGGCGGUAGCGCGAACGGUCCAUUUCGGUGGGCGAGGCAAGACUGUGAGAGCUUCCCUCCUGGUUUCGGCGACGCAAGGCAGCAGCGACGGGGCUGGAAUCUCCAGUAGGUUCAGCAGAUCGACGGUAGCAGCGGCAUGGACUCCUCGACGGCGAACGGUGGCGGCGUCUCCCUCCUCUGUUUUCGGUUGUUCUUCUUCUCGGCGAAGGCUUCAGCGAACAGAGGAUGAAGGCAGAUUCAAGAUGGAUUAGAAUGACUAAUAAGGUAAUUAUCUGUUUAAUUAUGGUGAAGAUUGAAUGGAUUAUAUGUUAAUGAAGAUUAAUUAAGGAAAAA